Molecule: RNA transcript, 2346 nt
Organism: Periophthalmus magnuspinnatus
Lineage: Eukaryota; Metazoa; Chordata; Actinopteri; Gobiiformes; Gobiidae
Gene: entpd2b
Gene name: ectonucleoside triphosphate diphosphohydrolase 2b
Exons: 10
Source: RefSeq, a predicted model, not a curated record
ACUUUAUGUAAAGCAGCAGUGUCAGGUGAAGCUGAGGCGGCCAAAAGAGGCGGGACAUGCCCUCUCUCUCCGUGUCCGUCUCGUAUGUCCGUGAGUCCGUGUGUCCGUGCCGAGAGCCGUGGACUCCGGUCUCGGUGCAGCUGAGGACCGAUGGCGCGUGAAUCCCCUCGCCGCUGCGCGCUCGUGCCUCUCGCGCUGCUGCUCUUCGGGCUCGUGGCCAUCCUCCUGCUCACGCUGCCCACGAGGGACGUGCCCGAGGCGCCCGGCUUCAUGUAUGGGAUCGUGCUGGAUGCAGGCUCCUCUCACACUGCUCUGUACGUGUACAAGUGGAGAGCAGACAAGCAGAACGGCACCGGCAUCGUCACCCAGCACAGCGAGUGUCACGUCAAAGGUGGGGGCAUCUCGAGUUAUGCCGGGGAGCGUGGAGGAGCAGCUCGGAGUCUGGAGCCCUGUCUGAACCAGGCGAUGCAGGACGUGCCCAAAGAGAGACACCCCUCCACCCCCGUGUACCUGGGGGCCACCGCGGGCAUGAGGCUGCUGCAUAUCUUCAGUAGUCAGCAGUCGACUCAGAUCCUGCAGGAGGUGGAGCAGAAGCUGAGGUCGUACCCCUUUGACUUCAGGGGGGCGGCCAUUUUGAGUGGGGAGGAGGAGGGGGCGUACGGCUGGGUCACUGUCAACUAUCUGCUGGAAAACUUCAUCAAGUACAGUUUCGUGGGCCACUGGCUGAGUCCAGGCAGGGGCACUGUGGGGGCUCUAGACUUCGGCGGAGCGUCCACUCAGAUCACGUUUGCCACAGAGGACCGGGUGGAGGAUGAGAGGGACAGGGUCAGACUGCAGCUGUACGGUCAGCACUACACCCUGUACACCCACAGCUUCCUCUGCUACGGCCGCGACCAGGUGCUCAAGAGGAUCCUCGCUCAGUUGGUCAAGACACAGGGAACAUUGGGGCCCAUCAGUCACCCGUGUUACCCCUCUGGCCACAGUCAAAGGGUCUCUCUGAACAGCAUCUUCAACUCCCCCUGCACCUCCUCAUCCAGACCAGCAUCCUCUGACCCCAAGACUGACCCCAAGACUGACCCCCAGGUUGAGCUGACCGUCCAGGGCACUGGCCACUACGGGAACUGUGUGGGAAUCAUUAAUCAGAUCUUCUCGUUCGACCAGUGCUCUUUCUCUCGCUGUUCAUUCGAUGGAGUCUUCCAGCCCAAUGUCAGCGGCAACUUCAUGGCAUUCUCUGCUUUCUUCUACACUCACUCGUUCCUGCAAAAAGUGACUGGUGUUACCGUGACAACGCCUUCACAACUGGAAGAAGCCACCAAGCAGAUCUGCGGCCUGAAUUUUAACCAACUGCUUGCCCUGGCCCCAGAGCAGAAGUCCCGUCUGCAGGAUUACUGCGCCUCCGCUGUAUUUAUGCAGGUGCUGCUGCUCCGAGGAUACGGCUUCGAUCAAAUGUCUUUUCCACAAGUUUCAUUCCAGAAGAAGGCUGGCGGCACGUCGGUGGGCUGGGCUCUGGGCUACAUGCUGACUCUGAGUAACCUGCUGCCCGCUGAGAGCCCCCCUCUGAGAAAGGCCCUUACACCCGCGGCCUGGGGAACCCUGCUCUUCCUGGUGGUCCUGGUCCUGACGCUGGCUCUGGGGUGUGUGGUGGUGCGAGCCUGUGGAGGGAAGAAGGAGAGCAGCACCGAGAGCACCAUCUGAGACACAGCACUUAACUAAACUGGAAUGGACAGGCAUUUUAUAAGAAAAGAGAUUGCACUAAAAAACAAUGUACUGUUUUUUUUUACAUUUAGAAGUUCCAUAGUAUUUGAACUUCAGUUUUUACUGUUAGAGCAGGCUAGAGAACCCUUAUUGGUAUGAAAAUAUCCCCAGAACCCUAUAUUAUCCUCUGCACUGCAAUAAAAUUCAGAAGUUCUAAUGUUUAUUACCAAAUUUGGAUGAAAGUCUAAUUCCUCAUACUCCUUAUUGUGUGGGAUUAUAUAUUGUAAGAAACUGUAGGAUCCCCACUUUGAGAACCACUGUGUUAGAGUUUAUAUCAUGUUUUUAAAUAAUAUCUCAUAUUUAUUGCUUUAAAAUGGCUUUUUAUGUAAACUAACAAUGUGAAGAACCUGACCAACCAACUGUUAUAGACUUUUCGUAUGACUUUUUUAUGAGGCCUCGUUGUUAUAUAUGGAUAAUGUUAUUUGACACUGAAACUUGUAUUUUAGAAAACUGUGGUAUAUCAAAUCAAGGCAGCAAAGCAAGUCUGUGCUACUGACUGUGAUAAUGAUUGUGCACUGUAAAUAAAGUAAAUAUGUGUUUAUACAUCGGCCUACUAAUUAAACCUGGUGAAUAAAAAGAAGAAAUUAAUUC